AGAAACAGAAACAAACAGCAACAACAACAACAACAAAAACAAUGCAUUUAAUUAAAUGAAGAUGAGCUCAUGCUGGAGUAGGGUGGACUCUGAACCCAGUGGGACAAGCGUCCUUAUUAAGAAGAGGGAAAUCUGGACACACACAGAGCAGAGACCGCCGUGUGAAGAUGGAGGCAGAGAUCGGAGAGAUGCUGCCACACGCCACAAAUGCCUGGGGCUCCCAGAAACUACACGGAGCCUCCCCCAGCGGCUUCAGCAGGAGCAUGGCUCGGCCAACACUUUGAUCUUGGUCUUCCAGCCUCCAGAACGUUUUCCUAAAAUUCCCUUUUCCACUGGUGUGUGGUGCAAGAUGAGGCACAUUUUCCAUGGAUGGUGAACAGAGGGAGGAGCCUUUUGAUCACAACCAGGUCACCCCACUUCUAAGCCACUGUGCCUCCAGCCCCACAAGACUAAGGAGAGAGAGCGCAGCGUGGUGGAGAGUGAGCUGUGCUGGGACCAUUGUUUCCGUAACCUCGUUUUCUGUGUCCAGCUGACACACCUUCAAAGUGGCAUCAGGUCCUAAACUGUAGCUUGCAAUGUGCCUGUUUCCAGAAACCAAGGUGAAAGUGCUUUUAGACAGUGUUCCCAUGCAAGAGUCCCUUCCCAGCUUUUUUCUGGAAAUGCAUGUUUCUCUGAACUCUGAGUCCCAAGAAAAAUCACUUGAGACACCAAGAAAAUGGGGGAAGUGCUAAAAUUGUGUGGGAAUUCAAGCUUAACAAUAAACAUCAAGACAUUUUUGAUAAAAAUGAAUCCACUGACAUCGGGGAGGAGCAAGAGAACAGCACGCUGACACUGGGUCAGAGGCUAAGACCGACAUUUCUGGGAACCACUCCCGGAAGGGCACAGAGGAGACGCUUUCAGCCUCUCAUCAGCCAGCCUGGCCUGUAGCUGCUGCACGUUAUGAGUGUGUUCCUGGCAUGACUGCUUCUAACAAAGAAAUGCUGAGGCAGUGUCACGCUGGUGUCUGUCCUCCUUACAGAAUGCCUGAACAGUUCCAUUGACUCAAAGUGAAGAUCAAAAGAACCAAAUGACAGCAAUAGCCAAGUGUAAUCAUCAGUAACCCUGUGUUCUAUCCACAGUUAAAAGAAUAUUGGCAGAGAAACAGCCUUGGUGUUCCAGCAGGAGUGAAGAGGAACAGGAAAACGAGUGGCAGUAGCCCUGAAACAGCCACUUCUGGUGGUUGCCACUCACCUGAGGAUGUGAGUCUUGGCAGGCCAGGCUUCUGGGGACAGGGGGCCCAAGGCACAGUAGACGGUAAUUUUUAAGAUUAUGGAUGGACUGUUGGGUACUGGUUAAGAAUUCUGGGUUUGGCCAGGCACAGUGGCUCAUGCCUGUAAUCCCAGCACUUUGGGAGACUGAGGCCGGUGGAUCACGAGCUCAGGAAAUUGAGACCAUCCUGGCUAACA
RNAcentral lists this long non-coding RNA (1445 nucleotides) under Homo sapiens (human). RNAcentral's name for it is "non-protein coding lnc-GGCT-1:38". The record is from RNAcentral. Lineage: Eukaryota; Metazoa; Chordata; Mammalia; Primates; Hominidae.